Molecule: ribosomal RNA, 253 nt
Filed under: uncultured bacterium
Lineage: Bacteria
Description: partial 16S ribosomal RNA
Rfam family: Bacterial small subunit ribosomal RNA
Source: RNAcentral
UACGGGGGGAGCAAGCGUUGUUCGGAUUUACUGGGCGUAAGGGCGCGUAGGCGGCCACCGCAAGUCGACUGUGAAAUCUCCGGGCUUAACCCGGAAAGGUCAGCCGAUACUGCGGGGCUAGAGUGCAGAAGGGGCAACUGGAAUUCUCGGUGUAGCGGUGAAAUGCGUAGAUAUCGAGAGGAACACCUGCGGCGAAGGCGGGUUGCUGGGCUGACACUGACGCUGAGGCGCGAAAGCUAGGGGAGCGAACGGG